RNAcentral lists this ribosomal RNA (547 nucleotides) under uncultured bacterium. RNAcentral's name for it is "bacterial SSU rRNA". It matches the Rfam family "Bacterial small subunit ribosomal RNA", at positions 355 to 896 of the family's 1533-position model. The record is from RNAcentral.
UGGGGAAUUGGACAAUGGGCGAAAGCCUGAUCCAGCCAUGCCGCGUGUGUGAAGAAGGCCUUUUGGUUGUAAAGCACUUUAAGUGGGGAGGAAAAGCUUAUGGUUAAUACCCAUAAGCCCUGACGUUACCCACAGAAUAAGCACCGGCUAACUCUGUGCCAGCAGCCGCGGUAAUACAGAGGGUGCAAGCGUUAAUCGGAAUUACUGGGCGUAAAGCGCGCGUAGGUGGUUAUUUAAGUCAGAUGUGAAAGCCCCGGGCUUAACCUGGGAACUGCAUCUGAUACUGGAUAACUAGAGUAGGUGAGAGGGGAGUAGAAUUCCAGGUGUAGCGGUGAAAUGCGUAGAGAUCUGGAGGAAUACCGAUGGCGAAGGCAGCUCCCUGGCAUCAUACUGACACUGAGGUGCGAAAGCGUGGGUAGCAAACAGGAUUAGAUACCCUGGUAGUCCACGCCGUAAACGAUGUCUACCAGUCGUUGGGUCUUUUAAAGACUUAGUGACGCAGUUAACGCAAUAAGUAGACCGCCUGGGGAGUACGGCCGCAAGGUUA